This 644-nucleotide ribosomal RNA is filed under the name uncultured bacterium. Its description in RNAcentral is "bacterial SSU rRNA". It matches the Rfam family "Bacterial small subunit ribosomal RNA", at positions 89 to 748 of the family's 1533-position model. The record is from RNAcentral.
GACUGAGUGGCGGACGGGUGAGCAACGCGUGGGUAACUGCCCUGUACAGGGGGAUAACAGCUGGAAACGGCUGCUAAUACCGCAUAAGCGCACGAGGAGACAUCUCCUUGUGUGAAAAACUCCGGUGGUACAGGAUGGGCCCGCGUCUGAUUAGCUGGUUGGCAGGGUAACGGCCUACCAAGGCAAACGAUCAGUAGCCGGUCUGAGAGGAUGAAACGGCCACAUUGGAACUGAGACACGGUCCAAACUCCUACGGGGAGGCAGCAGUGGGGAAUAUUGCACAAUGGGGGGAAACCCUGAUGCAGCAACGCCGCGUGAGUGAAGAAGUAUUUCGGUAUGUAAAGCUCUAUCAGCAGGGAAGAUAAUGACGGUACCUGACUAAGAAGCUCCGGCUAAAUACGUGCCAGCAGCCGCGGUAAUACGUAUGGAGCAAGCGUUAUCCGGAUUUACUGGGUGUAAAGGGUGCGUAGGUGGCAGUGCAAGUCAGAUGUGAAAGGCCGGGGCUCAACCCCGGAGCUGCAUUUGAAACUGCAUAGCUAGAGUACAGGAGAGGCAGGCGGAAUUCCUAGUGUAGCGGUGAAAUGCGUAGAUAUUAGGAGGAACACCAGUGGCGAAGGCGGCCUGCUGGACUGUUACUGACACUG